This 155-nucleotide non-coding RNA is filed under the name Candidatus Alloclostridium intestinigallinarum. RNAcentral describes it as "Lysine riboswitch". It matches the Rfam family "Lysine riboswitch aptamer". Rfam says of the family: Riboswitches are metabolite binding domains within certain messenger RNAs that serve as precision sensors for their corresponding targets. Allosteric rearrangement of mRNA structure is mediated by ligand binding, and this results in modulation of gene expression. The record is from RNAcentral. Lineage: Bacteria; Bacillati; Bacillota; Clostridia.
CUUAUAGAGGCGCGGCAAAGAUAAGUAAGCGGAUUAAAGGGUCGGGUCCCUCCGCGAAAGGCGAUGCCGCCGAAGUGUGCUCUUUCCCCGGAAAAGGGUAUGCUGGGCGCAGGGCGAACAGCUUUGCGACUGUCAUCUGAGGAUGGAGCACUAUA